UACGUAGGGGGCGAGCGUUGUCCGAAGUUACUGGGCGUAAAGCGCGCGUAGGCGGCUCAUUAAGUCUGGGGUGAAAGGUUCAGCGCUCAACGCGAACAGUGCCUUGGAUACUGGUGAGCUUGAGUCUGGGAGGGGGCAGUGGAAUUCCUGGUGUAGCGGUGAAAUGCGCAGAUAUCAGGAGGAACACCGGUGGCGAAGGCGGGUCUCUGGGCCGAUACUGACGCUGAGGAGCGAAAGCGUGGGGAGCGAACAGG
This 254-nucleotide ribosomal RNA is filed under the name uncultured bacterium. Its description in RNAcentral is "partial 16S ribosomal RNA". It matches the Rfam family "Bacterial small subunit ribosomal RNA", at positions 524 to 776 of the family's 1533-position model. The record is from RNAcentral.